UGAGCAAUCUGCCCUUCUCAUCGGAAUAAGCGUUGGAAACGACGUCUAAUGCCGAAUACGACCUCCUUUCGCACGAUCGGAGGUGGAAAGCUCCGGCGGAGAAGGAUGAGCUCGCGGCCUAUCAGCUAGUUGGUGUGGGUAACGGCCCACCAAGGCGACGACGGGUAGCCGGCCUGAGAGGGCGACCGGCCACACUGGGACUGAGACACGGCCCAGACUCCUACGGGAGGCAGCAGG
RNAcentral lists this ribosomal RNA (237 nucleotides) under uncultured bacterium. RNAcentral's name for it is "partial 16S ribosomal RNA". It matches the Rfam family "Bacterial small subunit ribosomal RNA", at positions 118 to 354 of the family's 1533-position model. The record is from RNAcentral.